UGGGCAGUAGCUCAGUAGUAGAGUUCCCGCCUCAUAUGUGGGAAGACCUGGGUUCGAUUCGCCGCUGCUCAC
Molecule: transfer RNA, 72 nt
Filed under: Toxocara canis (dog roundworm)
Lineage: Eukaryota; Metazoa; Nematoda; Chromadorea; Rhabditida; Toxocaridae
Rfam family: tRNA
About the family: Transfer RNA (tRNA) molecules are approximately 80 nucleotides in length. Their secondary structure includes four short double-helical elements and three loops (D, anti-codon, and T loops).
Source: Rfam by way of RNAcentral